RNAcentral lists this ribosomal RNA (403 nucleotides) under uncultured bacterium. Its description in RNAcentral is "partial 16S ribosomal RNA". It matches the Rfam family "Bacterial small subunit ribosomal RNA", at positions 30 to 526 of the family's 1533-position model. The record is from RNAcentral.
AUUGAACGCUGGCGGCAGGCCUAACACAUGCAAGUCGCGCGAGCGGCGGACGGGUGAGUAAUGUAUGGGGACUGCCCGAUAGAGGGGGAUAACUACUGGAAACGGUGGCUAAUACCGCAUACUAUCGGAUACCCCCUAUGGGAUUAGCUAGUAGGUGGGGUAAAGGCUCACCUAGGCGACGAUCUCUAGCUGGUCUGAGAGGAUGAUCAGCCACACUGGGACUGAGACACGGCCCAGACUCCUACGGAGGAAGCAGUGGGGAAGAUUGCACAAUGGGCGCAAGCCUGAUGCAGCCAUGCCGCGUGUAUGAAGAAGGCCUUAGGGUUGUAAAGUACUUUCAGCGGGGAGGCGUUACCCGCAGAAGAAGCACCGGCUAACUCCGUGCCAGCCGCCGCGGUAAUUC